This 253-nucleotide ribosomal RNA is filed under the name uncultured bacterium. Its description in RNAcentral is "partial 16S ribosomal RNA". It matches the Rfam family "Bacterial small subunit ribosomal RNA", at positions 524 to 776 of the family's 1533-position model. The record is from RNAcentral.
CACGUAGGCACCAAGCGUUGUCCGGAUUUAUUGGGCGUAAAGAGCACGUAGGUGGUCUAGUAAGUCAGGUGUGAAAUCCCAGGGCUCAACCCUGGAAGUGCACUUGAAACUGCAUGACUUGAGUACGGAAGAGGUGAGUGGAAUUCCUGGUGUAGUGGUGAAAUACGUAGAUAUCAGGAGGAACAUCGGUGGCGAAGGCGGCUCACUGGUCCUGUACUGACACUGAGGUGCGAAAUCAUGGGGAUCAAUCAGG